GUCACUGUCCCGUGCGAGAUCGCUUGCAUGGGGUUUAUUCUUUAAAAGCGGUGAAACAGAACAAAUUUAAUGUGCAUUUCGCUGUAUUCAAGAAAUAGCAACAGCCAGAAGUCUCCAUCUUAUCCAGCACGUUAUGGGGAGUUGGCAGCCUUGGUGAUGGUGCCAAAGCAGCCUGACAGCCGACAGAAAGAUUCAGGUUGCCUCGAAAUUUUACCCAAGCCAUGCCACACACUCCGGCCAGGCUUCUUGCAAACGACGUAUAACCAGGCUCAACGCAUCACUGUUGAGUGAGUCCGGAGAUCAAGGCAACCUGCUGUGCAACCAGCGCGCAACAUUUGGUGACCCCUCUACAUGUUCUAUCUAUUUCACAGCUGUACCUCACUGCUAUCUGUCCAAACAGCAUUAUCAGCUUUGGUCACUUAUCGAACGAUGGAUGAAUGUUAGGGUGGAGUGAUUUGAACAGACAUUCUAUUUGUCUCUUCAAAGUCUUUGCAAAUACUUCUGUUAUUAUAAUUCAUAUGUGUCUUUAGUACCUAGUUUUUAAUAGUUCCUUUCUCUUAGAAUUCUCACCAUCAACUCCUGCUAUUAUAAUGUAUAUAUGUCUUUAUGCCCUGUUUGUCAUGGUUCAUUUGUACUUGUGGAUGUAAUUGAUAGGUUCUUAAGAGGAAGCUUUAGCUCGGGUGCUCCUAUCUAAAUACAUGUAAAAGGAGAAUUCGUUUUCCUCGGCAACCACUGCACCAAAUUUGACGGGGUUUGCUGCAUUUAAAAGAAAAGCUUAAAAUCUAGUGACUGUUGGUUUCGAAUUUUCGAUUUAGGUCGUCAAAUUUUUAUAAAAAUUUAGCGAAAAUCGCAAAUUUUCAGAAAACGAAACUAUGAAGUUUACAACUCUGUAACUCGGCAAGGAAAAAUGAUAUCGCAAUUCUGUGAAUUGCACCUGAUAGCACACCUAAAGCGGACAAAAUUGAUAUGUUACACAUGAACCUCAAAAAUUGGAGUAUUGUGUAAUCACAACUUUUGCUGAACCUUCGUAAACAACGUAACAAAUUUACGUAAGAUGUAAACUGACAUAUCAAAUUUGUCCGCUUUGAAUGGUCUAAUGGAUGCCAUUUACAGAAUCGCGAUAUCUGUUUUUGAUGCAGAGCUAUUAGCUUGUAAACUUCGUGCUUCUAUUCUUUUCAAACGUCUGAAUUUUUAAAAAUCCUUUUAACAAAAUUCAAGCCCUAAAUCAAAAUUCCGCUUCCAACAGUCACUAGAAUUUAACUUUCUCUCUCAAAUGCAACAAAUUUCAUUAAAAUCGGUCCAGGGGUUAUCUCAGAAAAACGGUUUUGCGUUUUUACAUGUAUUUGAAUAGGUCGCGUCGGAGUUGGGCCCGAGCUAAAGCUUCCUCUUAAUUCUUGUUGUACAAAAGCCUCAAAUGCAAACUUACGGCAUUUUUUUCCCUUUGAUAAUCUACAGCACUGCAAUGUGUUCAAGAAAUGUAACAUAACACGGGCUCUGUUGCAGGAUAAAUUUAAGAGCAAUAUAGAGUACUUAUUUCAAGCAUCCGAUAUUUUUGAAAAAGUCGAGAAUAUAGGAGCACAAUAAAGAAAAUAUUAAACUAGAGAAACAUGGGGGUUCCCCUCAUAAGUCGGGUAACAAUGUGACUUCCUUUCGCUGCAAAGAUACCAGUGGUACUCGCAUACAAGGUUUGAGACAUGAAAGCUAUGAUGCCCUUGGCAUUUCUAGGUGCUUAUUUGCCACACUGACGAAUGUCAAAGGCAUCGUAGGUUUCAUGCACACAUUGGUUGUGUUAGACCUUUUGAGUAUUGCAUUUCUCAAACACACAGGUUUACAGCAGUGCGUUAAAUGGCAAAUGUAUUUCCUAAUUUUCAGAAUUUGUUAGUGCAAGAGUAACGGUGCAGAUCAUGUAAAAAUAAUUUUACAGACUAUAUAUCCCUGGAUGCACGCUUCUUCUGAUGACGUAACAGUACCAUGUGGUCGGGGGAUGAAUGUCUUUAUUUCAGAUUUAAAUAUUUUCUUCCAGGUCUGGGUUAGUCUCCUGCACUGAGUAUUCUAGGUCAGAGCGCAUUUACUAGAGGAAAGUGAAUUAAACUAGGAAUUAUAAACAUGAAAGAUCUUGUUCGGGACACUAAUGUGACAAUCAGCAAGGUUAUUUGUGCAUUCAUUUCCAAAUUUGUUAGGAUAUAUUUUCACUGGUUUCAUUAAUGCGAGAACAAAUAUUUGUUUAUUCUCACACCAGAGUUGGCUGCCCCCAUUGGCAUACAACCCAUUUACAGGCUAAAAAUUCAGUGUAUUAAUAGGCUGUUUUUGGUGUUAUGCACUCAGUGUUAAGGGAUGCAAACGGUGACAUACAACAGAAUGCAAAAAAUGACUAAGGAGUGCAAGCAGGGUGUGGGGCUUUUUAGGCAGAUGCGUGCAUGUGCUAUUUAUAGAACUCCCCAUAGUAUGCCUGAAGGCUUUCUGACACUUUGGUAGAAUACACUGACACCCACUUAUUAAGGGGAAAUUCUCCUCGAAACAACUUUUUUAAAUUAUUUGUACUAGAGAUUCGAAUAUACUGCUAUUCAUAGGGAGUUUUAUGCAGAUUUGAAUUGUCAUUGAUUUUUGUGGAGCUGGUGUUUUUUAGUUAUGUCCUACGCAGUGGCAAAAGAUUUUUGUGGGUACUUUCAUGUGUAUAAAAUUUGCACAAAUAGUUUCAUGCUGUAUCUUGUUUAGCUAGUUGUAUACUGCAAAUUGGCGAUAACUAUCCAAACAGCUUGUACAAUUA
Long non-coding RNA from Dermacentor andersoni, 2767 nucleotides. RefSeq lists it as uncharacterized. The record is from RefSeq and is a predicted model, not a curated record. NCBI's taxonomy places the organism in Eukaryota, Metazoa, Arthropoda, Arachnida, Ixodida, Ixodidae.